AUGGCAAUAUCUUACAAAACAAUUAUUCAAGAAUUAAAAUUAUAUUCUAUUAUUCCAGAGGGGUGCAAGGCUGAAACUAGAUGGUGUAAUGUAGCAAGGCCUGGGCGCAGGGCCCAUACAAAUCAGAGUCAAAACAGUUUUUUGUUACAAGUUUCCACAUGGCCAAAAAGAGAUAAAGAUAGGGUUGAAUCAGAGGAGCUGCUUGGUCCAACCCAUCUACAUCUAACAAAAAUUCCGAACCAUAUUAUGUACGCCGCAUUACGAAUAUGA
Vicia faba (fava bean) is the source of this 270-nucleotide non-coding RNA. The record is from the annotation of a GenBank genome assembly. NCBI's taxonomy places the organism in Eukaryota, Viridiplantae, Streptophyta, Magnoliopsida, Fabales, Fabaceae.